RNA transcript from Motacilla alba alba, 2249 nucleotides. It is a transcript of the gene named dual specificity phosphatase 29, with no coding region annotated. The record is from RefSeq and is a predicted model, not a curated record. NCBI's taxonomy places the organism in Eukaryota, Metazoa, Chordata, Aves, Passeriformes, Motacillidae. The transcript has 5 exons.
CAUCAAAGAUGAUAUUUGUUUUAUUAUAGUCAACAUGCAGGCAUCAUGUUAUCUUAGUCAUACCAAGACUAGGUAACUAAACUGCCAGGUUUAAUGUUUCAGGUCACAUCAGGGAAUAGUUUUACCAGCAGAUGUAAAGAUCGUCAUUUGGAGUGGGUAGCACUCAAGGUCAGAGUCAGCAAAUCCUCCUCUAAAAAUAGACUUUACUUGCACAGUUAGUAAGGCUUCUUUUGUCGUUCUGCUGCACUUCACAGGACCCAGUUACUUACUGCACCCACCUAAGCUUACAGUUUCUCACACAUCUUGAGAGUGUUACUUCAUGGACAAGAUGUCAUCAGGAAGCUGGAUUGCUGGGAAGAAAAAUGCAUAUACAGCAGUCAAAGUAGAUCCUGAUGGGGACUAUUGUACCCCAGGGGCAUUUGAACUGGAGAGGCUCUUGUGGAAGGGCUGCCCAAAGUACACUCACGUCAAUGAAGUCUGGCCCAACCUCUACAUAGGAGACGAAAAAACUGCGCUGGAUCGCUACAGCCUGGAGAAGGCAGGAUUCACCCACAUCCUCAACGCGGCCCACGGGCAGCGCAACGUGGACACGGGAGCACAGUAUUACAGCAGCAUGACUGUGGAGUACCAUGGCGUGGAAGCAGAUGAUCUCCCCACUUUCGACCUCAGCCAGUUCUUUUAUUCGGCUUCCAAAUUCAUUGAUAAUGCACUUCAGGAUGAAAGAAGCAAGGUGCUGGUUCACUGCGCCAUGGGCCGCAGCCGCUCCGCCACUCUGGUCUUGGCUUACCUGAUGAUUUACAAGAACAUGACAGUGGUGGAUGCCAUUGAGCAAGUGUCACGGCACCGCUGCAUCAUGCCAAACCGGGGCUUCUUGAAACAGCUGAGAGAGCUGGACAUAGCGCUGGCACUGCAGAGGAGGAACAGCAAGAACAGCCUAGCACCUGCUGAGCAGCAGAACAGCACCACCAUCUAGCAUUGUCCUGGCAUGGCUGUGCUACUGGAAAAGAAACUCCAUGAAAGGAGGGGAGGGGAAGGGUGUAUGCAAUUAUGAUGAGUAACCUACGCUUAAGCUCUAAACAGCCUAAUCCAAACCCCACCGACUGUAAUGGGCUUUAGAUCAAGCACGUGAGAGCACUGUAACAAACACUGUUUCAGGAGGGAAUUCCCAUGCAACAUCAAACUAUGACAAGACACAAGAGGCUAAAAAUGGCUCAUCAUAAUUUAUUUUAUGUUAAAAUGUACAGCUUGGGGGGGGGGGGGGUGUAGUUUUUUGCAGUUUUUAUUUUGUUGCUUGGGUGGGUCUUUUGUGGGUAUUUUUUUAAGUGACUGACUAAAAAGAUAACAGAUAAAUACAAGAGUGUCACUGGGUCCUAUUUUUACAUGUAUCAAGCCUCUUCUGUUCGGCCCUUACAGUCACUCUGUACAGGUACAAAGGCUACAAAAAAGGAAGCAAUAUAAACAGACACAAAUAACUUUUGCCUUUUUACAUGCGAUCUGUAAGCUUAGUUUGAGCUAUUCACACGCUACUGCUCUAUUUUUUCCCUUAAAAAAUAACUCCAAUAUUUUAUAAAGAUAGAAAAAUCUACAGAUGGAAUGAAAAUGUAAAGUUAGAGGCAUUUCCAUAAAAUAGCAACUUUACACCAAAUUCACUACUUUUUUUUUUAAAUCCUGCCAAGUAUUUGGACAUAUACGAAAAUGUUUCAAAACUUGACAAAUAAACACUGAGAUGUUUCAAUCAACAAAAAAACGUAAGUUUUUAUAAAACAGAAAGCUGCCUUUUUUCCUACCCAGCCCCAAAGAAACUGGUCACAAAAAUGGAAAAGAGUCUCAACUUUACACUAAACAUACAGCAAUAAAACCCUUUGAACUAACCAAAAUGUGAAUAGCUUUUGCAGCUUUUUUUAUUAUUUUUACAAGUUUUAUAAUUAACAAAAAUAUAGUUCUGGUUUUUUUUUACCCCUCAAACUAGGGUAACCUAAUCAAGGCAAAAAAAUUAAGAAAUGGCUUACUGUUAAGCACAACACUUGUACAGUACUACAAAAUGCACUGUCACUAACAAAGACAUUAGCGGCAUGCAGAAGUGUCACCUUCAGAAACAAAAUAAUACAAUAAAAGAACUGCUAAAAGGCAUUUACAUGUGGGGAAAGGAGAGAGAAAAAGCUCAUGAUCCAGUACUGUCUGAUAGUUUUGGAGUCUGUUUAUCCACAUUUUUAAUGGGAGCAGGCACAUAAAAUGGCUCUGAACCAUCA